Molecule: long non-coding RNA, 4255 nt
Organism: Portunus trituberculatus (swimming crab)
Lineage: Eukaryota; Metazoa; Arthropoda; Malacostraca; Decapoda; Portunidae
Exons: 2
Source: RefSeq, a predicted model, not a curated record
UGAGAGAGAGAGAGAGAGAGAGAGAGAGAGAGAGAGAGAGAGAGAGAGAGAGAGAAAGAGAGAGAGAGAGUACCACAGUCUUCACCAAAACCUCCUUACAUAAACAACCCAGUGAUAUUACUAAGCCAUGUCCUGUAUAAGCUAAGCCAGCCAAGCCACCCUAUCCCCCCUUAAUGACUGUGAUAAUUUAAACACUAGCCUCACCCUCUAUAACUGUACUGGGGGCUGGGAGGGACUGCUAGAGGGGGGACUAGGGAGCUGGGGGCUGAAAGAAUGCAUUUAGAAGGGAUAUUAAAGUAAUUAGGGAGCUGAGGGGCUGGAAAAAUGCAUUGAUAAGGGGUUUAUAAGUAAUUUGAUGGGGCUGUUUGCUGGGGGCUGGAAAAAUACAUUAAGAAGGGGUGUAAUAGUAAUUUGAUGGGGCUACUUGCUGGGGGGCUAAUAGAAUGCAUUUAACAAAGGGUGUAAUAGUAAUUUGAUGGGGCUAUGUACUGCGGGGCUAACAGAAUGCAUUAAUAAGGGGUUUAUAUGUAAUUUGAUGGGGCUACUUGCUGCAGGGCUAACAGAAUGCAUUAAUAAGGGGUUUAUAUGUAAUUUGAUGGGGCUGUUUGCUGGGGGGCUAAUAGAAUGCAUUUAAGAAGGGGUGUAAUAUUAAUUUGAUGGGGCUGUUUGCUGGGGAGGGCUGACAGAAUGCAUUUAGAAGGGAUAUUAAAGUAAUUAGGGAGCUGAGGGGCUGGAAAAAUGCAUUGAUAAGGGGUUUAUAAGUAAUUUGAUGGGGCUGUUUGCUGGGAGCUGGAAAAAUACAUUAAGAAGGGGUGUAAUAGUAAUUUGAUGGGGCUACUUGCUGGGGGGCUAAUAGAAUGCAUUUAAGAAAGGGUGUAAUAGUAAUUUGAUGGGGCUAUGUACUGCGGGGCUAACAGAAUGCAUUAAUAAGGGGUUUAUAUGUAAUUUGAUGGGGCUACUUGCUGCAGGGCUAACAGAAUGCAUUAAUAAGGGUUUUAUAUGUAAUUUGAUGGGGCUGUUUGCUGGGGGGCUAAUAGAAUGCAUUUAAGAAGGGGUGUAAUAUUAAUUUGAUGGGGCUGUUUGCUGGGGGCUGACAGAAUGCAUUUAGAAGGGGGUGUAAUAAUUUGAUGGGGCUAAGGGCUGUGGGGGGGCCUGAUAGAAUGUAUUUAGAAGAUAUACAUAAAUAAUUUGGGGGCUGGGGGCUGAGUGAAUGCAUUUAAGAGGCCUGUUGAGUAAUUUGAGGGUUUUUAGAGGGUUUAGUGCUGUUUUGUAAGGAAUUGUAGAGUUUUAAAUGGAAUCCAGUUUGUGAGAAUGCAUUUAAGAGGGAUUUAAGAAUAAUUUGGAUUUUUUAAAAUAUUCAAUGCUGUUUUGAAAGGGAUUCUAGAGUUCUUAAAAGGAAUUCAGUUUGCUAGAAUGCAUUUAAGAGGGAUGUAGAGUAAUUUGGGUGUUUUUAGAGGAUUGAAUGCUGUUUUGUAAUGGAUUGUAAAUUAUUUUUGGGUCUAGAACUGUUCAUAAAAGGAAUCCAGUUUGUAAGAAUGCAUUUAAGAGGGAUGUAAAGUGGUUUUUAAAGAAUUGAAUGCUGUUUUGCAAAGGAUUUAAAUUAUUUUGGUCUAUAAUUAAAGAAUUGAGUGUUUUUUUGCUAACUAAUUAUGAAGAGGAGUCUGUAAUAAUGCAUUUAGGAAGAAAUAUAUAAACAAUUUGGGGAUUUUAAAGGAUUGAAUGCUGUUUUGUAAAGGAUUAUAGAUUAUUUGGUCUAAUAAUUAAAGAAUCAAGUGUUUUCUUACUAAUGAAGAGAAGUUUGUAGGAAUACAUUUAGGAAGGAACAUAUAAAUAAUUUUGGGUUUUUAAAGAAUUGAAUGCUGUUUUGUGAAGGAUUUAGAUAUUUUGGUCAGUAAUUAAAGAAUCAAAUUUUUCUUACUAAUUAUGAAGAGAAGUUUGUAAGAAUGCAUUUAGGAAGGAUGUAUAGAGUAAUUUAGGAUGUUUUAGAGGAUUGAAUACUGUUUUGUAAAGGAUUAUAAAUGAUUAUGGUCUAGAACUGUUUGUAAAAGGAAAUUCUAUGGCCUGUAAUGCACUGAAGAGGGUUAUAUAGAUUCCCGUGAUGUGAAGGAUUGAAUACUACUUUAAAGGAUUCCAGUGGUGGUGUUGUGGUGUUUGGUGUAUAGUCAGUGAGAUUAGAACCUUUUUAUACUGAGAUAAUGAUGUUAAUGCAUUUCUCGGGGGGUUUAAGAUGAGAUUGUGAUGAUUAGAGGGUUGAAUGCUACUUGUGAAGGAUUAUUCCAGUACAGUUAUAGUGGUGUUGGAUUGAUAGUUAGUGAGAUUAGAACCUUUUUAUACUGAGACAAUGGUGUUAAUGCAUUUCUCAAGGGGGUUUAAGAUGAGAUUGUGAUGAUUAGAGGGUUGAAUACUACUUAUGAAGGAUUCCAGUACAGUUAUAGUGGUGUUGGAUUGAUAGUCAGUGAGAUUAGAACCUUUUUAUACUACAUAUGGCAUUUUUACAUUUUUAAAGGGAGUCAAGACAAGGUUAUGAGAUGUAGAUGAUUCAGUGACAUUUUUUAGAGGAUUCCAGUGCAUUUGUAGUGGUGUUGUACUGGGAUUUGAACCUUUUAUACUGCAUUUUUUUAUAAUCAUGCAUUUCUGAGGUGAAGAAUGUGAAUUACUAAAGUUUAGAGCACCGAAUGACACUUAAAGGGGUUCCAAGACUGCUGUGGCAGGUAGCCAAUGGUAUCAGAACCCUUUUUGUAUGAAACUUUUAGGAUCUAAGCAUUUAUAGAGGGAAGAACAAAAACCUAGUGAUUUAAAAGGUACAGUGAUGCUCUUAAAUUAUUCCAAGACUAGUAAUAGUGUUUUGUGAGGUUUUAGUAGGAUUUGAACCUUUUUGAUAUGAUUAUGCACUUGUAGAGAGAAUGAAGGCAAGGCAGUGAUAAGACAAGGAUUCUAAUAGUGUUUGAUGCUAAAAGGGAGUAUUGGAACCUUUUAAAACCCCCACUCUUGUAGUUUAUGGGUUCAUAAUUACUUUAUAAGGAAGGUCAUACCAGUUUGUAAAAAAUUCUAAUGGUGUUUAAUGGUAUUUGAUGUUAAAAUGGAGUAUUGGAACAUAUAUAAUCCCAUUCUUUUAGUUUAUGGGUUCAUAAUCACUUUAUAAGGAGUUUGGAAGGUCAGGACAGUUUGUAAAGGAUUCUAUAAUGGUGUUUGAUGCUAAAAGGGAGCAUUGGGACCUAUUAAAACUCACUCAUAAUAGGUUUAAAAGGGCUUAUGAUACUAUUAAAGGAUUCUAAUGCUGUAGUAAUGGUGUUAGAAUCCAUGUUUGCUGUAUAUUUUUCUUGCCAUUAGUAUGUACACCUUUGUAAUGUAUGUGUGUGUGUAUGUAUGCAUGAAUGGUUUAAUUUUAAUAUUUGAAGGGAGUUACUAUUAUUAUUAUUGUAUUUAGUUAAUUGUGGUUAAUGAAAUGCAUUUACAAUUGAGAGAGAGAGAGAGAGAGAGAUCCACAUGAUGAAUUAAUAAAGCAAAGAAAAACCGUGAAAUUUGGCGGGAAAUGUGAUGAAUGAUAAUCUUGCCAUAAAAUUUCUCCUUAGUAAUUUUGUGCCAUAAUAAGAAUACAAAAAGUAAAGGUUUAACAUGAAAUAAAACUGUGCCAUGGGUGAAAGCUGAUAGAGAUGCAAUGAAGAUGGAAACAAGUGCCAACAGAGGAAAGGAUGAUAGUGAUAAACAGAUAACAGUAAUAGAAACAAGAUAAUGACGAGAAAAGGAGGAAAGAAAUAAAAGAAAAAAAAUAAUAAUGAUAGAUGACAAAAUAAGAUAAUGACGAGAAGAGGAGGAAAGAAAUUAAAGAAAAACUGACAAAAUAAGAUAAAGAAGACAAGAAAAUAAUGAUAGUAAUAAUAAGAAAAGUUAAUUAGUGAAGAAGUGGAAGUAGAUACAGGAAAAUUUGGAAAAAGUGACUUAGAACAAUGUUAUAAAGAAAUAUUGCUUAAAGAAAGGAAUUAGAGCAAAGAAAAGAAAGAAAGGGAAUAUACACGUCAAAAUAAGAAAAGAAAAAGUAAUAGAAAUAUGAAAGUAAGGAAUAAAAAAGGAUGAAAAAAUGAACAAAAUAUAUUAAAUUUAUACACAGUUAAGAAAAGAAAGAAAAAAUUGUAGAAACUUAAGAAUUCAUUGAAACAAACACAAUGAAAAGAUGUACAUACCAAACACACACACACACACACACACACACAACACAACAAAGAAAGAAGAAAAUAAAGAAAAGAGUAGAAAAUUA